GGACUGGUGGUGUGGUGGUAACACAUUGCGUCCGGACGUGACAAGGAAUGGUUCGAUUCCCUUCUGGUCCA
RNAcentral lists this transfer RNA (71 nucleotides) under Gongylonema pulchrum. It matches the Rfam family "tRNA". From Rfam's summary of the family: Transfer RNA (tRNA) molecules are approximately 80 nucleotides in length. Their secondary structure includes four short double-helical elements and three loops (D, anti-codon, and T loops). Lineage: Eukaryota; Metazoa; Nematoda; Chromadorea; Rhabditida; Gongylonematidae. The record is from Rfam by way of RNAcentral.